CCCGAGGAAUCGGGACGAAAUGUGGGUCGGCGUCGAACGCCGCCCGAAUCGAAAG
This 55-nucleotide non-coding RNA is filed under the name Halobellus rufus. Lineage: Archaea; Methanobacteriati; Methanobacteriota; Halobacteria; Halobacteriales; Haloferacaceae. The record is from RNAcentral.